GCUCUCGUGGCGGAAUUGGUAGACGCCCUAGCCUUAGGAGCUAGCGCCUUCUGGCAUGUCGGUUCGAAUCCGACCGGGAGCACCA
This 85-nucleotide transfer RNA is filed under the name Terriglobia bacterium. RNAcentral's name for it is "tRNA-Leu". It matches the Rfam family "tRNA". Rfam says of the family: Transfer RNA (tRNA) molecules are approximately 80 nucleotides in length. Their secondary structure includes four short double-helical elements and three loops (D, anti-codon, and T loops). Further hydrogen bonds mediate the characteristic L-shaped molecular structure. tRNAs have two regions of fundamental functional importance: the anti-codon, which is responsible for specific mRNA codon recognition, and the 3' end, to which the tRNAs corresponding amino acid is attached (by aminoacyl-tRNA synthetases). tRNAs cope with the degeneracy of the genetic code in two manners: having more than one tRNA (with a specific anti-codon) for a particular amino acid; and 'wobble' base-pairing, i.e. permitting non-standard base-pairing at the 3rd anti-codon position. Lineage: Bacteria; Pseudomonadati; Acidobacteriota; Terriglobia. The record is from RNAcentral.